GUGUCGAUGAAGAACGCAGCCAGGUGCGUGAAUUAAUGUGAAUUGCAGGACACAUUGAACAUCGAUAUCUUGAACGCACAUUGCGGCCCUGGGUCACUCCCGGAGCCACGCCUGUCUGAGGGUCGGC
This 127-nucleotide ribosomal RNA is filed under the name Pecten maximus. Its description in RNAcentral is "partial 5.8S ribosomal RNA". It matches the Rfam family "5.8S ribosomal RNA", at positions 30 to 154 of the family's 154-position model. From Rfam's summary of the family: 5.8S ribosomal RNA (5.8S rRNA) is a component of the large subunit of the eukaryotic ribosome. The record is from RNAcentral. RNAcentral also lists the same sequence under 2 other names. Lineage: Eukaryota; Metazoa; Mollusca; Bivalvia; Pectinida; Pectinidae.